AUUGAACGCUGGCGGCAGGCCUAACACAUGCAAGUCGAGCGGAUGAGAGGAGCUUGCUUCUCGAUUCAGCGGCGGACGGGUGAGUAAUGCCUAGGAAUCUGCCUGGUAGUGGGGGACGACGUUUCGAAAGGAACGCUAAUACCGCAUACGUCCUACGGGAGAAAGCAGGGGACCUUCGGGCCUUGCGCUAUCAGAUGAGCCUAGGUCGGAUUAGUUAGUUGGUGAGGUAAUGGCUCACCAAGGCGACGAUCCGUAACUGGUCUGAGAGGAUGAUCAGUCACACUGGAACUGAGACACGGUCCAGACUCCUACGGGAGGCAGCAGUGGGGAAUAUUGGACAAUGGGCGAAAGCCUGAUCCAGCCAUGCCGCGUGUGUGAAGAAGGUCUUCGGAUUGUAAAGCACUUUAAGUUGGGAGGAAGGGUUGUAGAUUAAUACUCUGCAAUUUUGACGUUACCGACAGAAUAAGCACCGGCUAACUCUGUGCCAGCAGCCGCCGUAA
Molecule: ribosomal RNA, 500 nt
Filed under: uncultured bacterium
Lineage: Bacteria
Description: partial 16S ribosomal RNA
Rfam family: Bacterial small subunit ribosomal RNA
Source: RNAcentral